GGCUUCAGGUCGGGGACAACCACUGGAAACGGUGGCUAAUACCGGAUAUGCCGGAAGGUGAAAGAUUAAUUGCCUGAAGAUGAGCUCGCGACUGAUUAGCUAGUAGGUGUGGUAAGAGCGCACCUAGGCGACGAUCAGUAGCUGGUCUGAGAGGAUGAUCAGCCACACUGGGACUGAGACACGGCCCAGACUCCUACGGGAGGCAGCAGUGGGGAAUUUUCCGCAAUGGGCGAAAGCCUGACGGAGCAAUACCGCGUGAGGGAGGAAGGCUCUUGGGUUGUAAACCUCUUUUCUCAAGGAAUAAGAAAUGAAGGUACUUGAGGAAUAAGCAUCGGCUAACUCCGUGCCAGCAGCCGCGGUAAUACGGAGGAUGCAAGCGUUAUCCGGAAUGAUUGGGCGUAAAGAGUCCGUAGGUGGCGAUUCAAGUCUGCUGUCAAAGCACAAGGCUCAACCUUGUAAAGGCAGUGGAAACUGAAUGGCUAGAGUGCGUUCGGGGCAGAAGGAAUUCCUGGUGUAGCGGUGAAAUGCGUAGAGAUCAGGAAGAACACCGGUGGCGAAAGCGUUCUGCUAGGCCGCAACUGACACUGAGGGACGAA
Molecule: ribosomal RNA, 596 nt
Filed under: Nostoc elgonense C30
Lineage: Bacteria; Bacillati; Cyanobacteriota; Cyanophyceae; Nostocales; Nostocaceae
Description: bacterial SSU rRNA
Rfam family: Bacterial small subunit ribosomal RNA
Source: RNAcentral